AAGAUUCAAACAACCAACCCUGAUUUCCUGCUUCUCCUUUUCAUGAGUGUUCCUGUGGUCUCUGCACCUCCUUUCUUGUGUAAUGUUUAACAGCAGCAAAAUUAAAACAUGUAAGUUCCAUGCAGCAGUCCUCAAGGCCAUGAUAGCAACUGCUGCUGGUGGUGCCCGAUGGGGAAGGGGCUGCCAAACUAUGCAUCUGACCAAGGACUAAUAUCCAGAAUCUACAAGAACACAAACAACUCAACAAGAAAAAACAAUCCCAUUAAAAAGUGGGUAAAGGACAUAAACAGACAUUUUCCAAAGGAAUACAUACAAGUGGCCAAGAAACAUAUGAAAAAUGCUCAACGUCACUAAUCACCAGAUAAAUGCAAAUUAAAACCACAAUGAGAUAC
Molecule: small RNA, 392 nt
Filed under: Pan troglodytes (chimpanzee)
Lineage: Eukaryota; Metazoa; Chordata; Mammalia; Primates; Hominidae
Description: processed transcript
Source: RNAcentral